CAUUGGGUAGGGGAGCGUUCUGUAAGCCGUUGAAGGUGAAUCGUAAGGUUUGCUGGAGGUAUCAGAAGUGCGAAUGCUGACAUGAGUAACGAUAAAGGGAGUGAAAAACUCCCUCGCCGGAAGAUCAAGGGUUCCUGUCCAACGUUAAUCGGGGCAGGGUAAGUCGACCCCUAAGGCGAGGCCGAAAGGCGUAGUCGAUGGGAAACGGGUUAAUAUUCCCGUACUUCUUAUAAUUGCGAUGGAGGGACGGAGAAGGCUAGGUGAGCCUGGCGACGGUUGUCCAGGUCCAAGUAUGUAGGCUGAUGGUUUAGGCAAAUCCGGACCAUCUUAAGGCUGAGAUACGAUGUCGAGUUACUACGGUAACGAAGUCAUUGAUGCCAUGCUUCCGGGAAAAGCUUCUAAGCUUCAGGUUAUAAGAAAUCGUACCCCAAACCGACACAGGUGAUCAGGUAGAGAAUACCAAGGCGCUUGAGAGAACUCGGGUGAAGGAACUAGGCAAAAUGGUACCGUAACUUCGGG
RNAcentral lists this ribosomal RNA (519 nucleotides) under Photobacterium angustum. RNAcentral describes it as "bacterial LSU rRNA". It matches the Rfam family "Bacterial large subunit ribosomal RNA", at positions 1222 to 1740 of the family's 2925-position model. Lineage: Bacteria; Pseudomonadati; Pseudomonadota; Gammaproteobacteria; Vibrionales; Vibrionaceae. The record is from RNAcentral.